This 460-nucleotide ribosomal RNA is filed under the name uncultured euryarchaeote. RNAcentral's name for it is "partial 16S ribosomal RNA". It matches the Rfam family "Archaeal small subunit ribosomal RNA", at positions 181 to 643 of the family's 1478-position model. The record is from RNAcentral. Lineage: Archaea; Methanobacteriati; Methanobacteriota.
CCAGGCUGAAAAUUCCGGUGCUCGAGGAUGGGUCUGCGGCCUAUCAGGCUGUAGUGGGUGUAACGGACCCACUAACCUUCGACGGGUACGGGCCUUGAGAGAGGUUGCCCGGAGAUGGAUUCUGAGACACGAAUCCAGGUCCUACGGGNNNCAGCAGGCNNNNAAACUUCGCAAUGUGGGAAACCACGACGAGGGANNNCCAAGUGCCAACGAUUUUUCGUUGGCUGUUGCCCUGCCUAAAAAGCAGGGAGAGUAAGGGCUGGGUAAGACGGGUGCCAGCCGCCGCGGUAAUACCCGCGGCCCGAGUGGUGCUCGUUAUUAUUGGGUUUAAAACGUCCGUAGCCGGUCCAGUAAAUUCUUGGGUAAAUCGACCGGCCCAACCGGUCGAAUUCCGGGGAGACUGCUGGACUUGGGACCGGGGGAGGUCGGAGGUACUUCCAGGGUAGGGGUGAAAUCCUGU